CGGCGAGGUGGCCGCGGUGCUCCCUGCAGCCGGGACAGCGUCCCCUCUGCCGGGGGAUGGCUCUGGCGGGCUCCGGGCGCUCACGGGCUGGAGGAUGAGCCAAAGAUGGACAAAGCGGUUCCUUCCUUACGCUGUUGGGAUGCAUCCAACACCGUGGCCAGCACUUGCUGAAGGGGGAUCGGAGCAGCUCGAGCCCUCCCUCUGAGCAGGCUGGAUGGAGAAGCACAGGCUGUGAAUAUCCAGAUCUGGCACUGGUGAGUCUGGAGCUCUGCUGGUGCCACGAUGACACUGAUAGCACCUCUAAAAUGUGCCUCCAGGCACCGGCACCUGCCUCAGCCACCACUCAUCAUUCCCAUUAUCUGAGGAACUUUCUGCAAGGCCAGAGCUGGCCUGAAAGUGAUGGUGACCAGCAAAGGAAAAGGCAGAGGAACUGGGAUGUGGAGAGGGUUAAUUACAUCCAUCACUACUGUCAGGUUCCUGUAAAGUCAGGCUUCCAUCAGUACAAUCAAGAGUGAAAAAUACUGUCUGGCACAGGGGACCAAACCUCAGAAACACAAAAGAACCUACUGAAGGAGAGUGUGGAGAUGAGUGUGAGGGCAGAGAAGGAUAUUUUAUCAGCUAAGGAGAUUCUGCUUCAAUUUAAGUCUAAUAAAGCAUCAAUAAACUAAA
Molecule: long non-coding RNA, 669 nt
Organism: Motacilla alba alba
Lineage: Eukaryota; Metazoa; Chordata; Aves; Passeriformes; Motacillidae
Exons: 2
Source: RefSeq, a predicted model, not a curated record